AAGCAAAUCCUGCCNGNGACAAUAGUUCAACGGCCGCGGUAUCCUAACCGUGCAAAGGUAGCAUAAUCAUUUGCCUAUUAAUUGUAGGCUAGAAUGAACGGAUAAACGAAAUAAAAACUGUCUCGAUCAGCGACCUAAAAAUUAAUUUCUGCAUGAAGAAUUGCAGAUACCCUCGAAGGACAAGAAGACCCUAUAGAGCUUUAUUUUAUAUACAGAUAAAUACUGUAAAAAAAAUUCGGUUGGGGCGACCAAGGACAUUACUAAACACCCUUAAAAUAAAAGAUUUAUUAAUCAAAAAAAUGACCCUUUUAAGAUCAAAAAAUCAAGCUACCUUAGGGAUAACAGGCUAAUCCUACUUAANAGUUCAUAUCUACAGUAGGGCUUGGCACCUCGAUGUUGGCUUAGGAAAUCAAUAUAGCGCAAAAGUUAUAUAAAGAUGGUUUGUUCAACCAAUAAUUUCCUACGUGAUCUGAGUCCAGACCGGA
RNAcentral lists this ribosomal RNA (485 nucleotides) under Microscolex dubius. RNAcentral describes it as "partial large subunit ribosomal RNA". It matches the Rfam family "Bacterial large subunit ribosomal RNA", at positions 1850 to 2620 of the family's 2925-position model. The record is from RNAcentral. Lineage: Eukaryota; Metazoa; Annelida; Clitellata; Crassiclitellata; Megascolecidae.